This 324-nucleotide ribosomal RNA is filed under the name uncultured bacterium. Its description in RNAcentral is "bacterial SSU rRNA". It matches the Rfam family "Bacterial small subunit ribosomal RNA", at positions 28 to 334 of the family's 1533-position model. The record is from RNAcentral.
GAUGAACGCUGGCGGCGUGCUUAACACAUGCAAGUCGAACGAGAAGUCAACGGAUUGAGGAUUCGUCCAAAUGAAGCUGAGGAAAGUGGCGGGCGGGUGAGUAACGCGUGAGGAACCUGCCUUUCAGUGGGGGACAACAGUUGGAAACGACUGCUAAUACCGCAUAAUGUCAUUUGGGGGCAUCCCUGGAUGACCAAAGAUUUAUUGCUGAAAGAUGGCCUCGCGUCUGAUUAGCUGGUUGGCGAGGUAACGGCCCACCAAGGCGACGAUCAGUAGCCGGACUGAGAGGUUGACCGGCCACAUUGGGACUGAGAUACGGCCCAG